RNAcentral lists this ribosomal RNA (467 nucleotides) under uncultured bacterium. RNAcentral describes it as "partial 16S ribosomal RNA". It matches the Rfam family "Bacterial small subunit ribosomal RNA", at positions 28 to 507 of the family's 1533-position model. The record is from RNAcentral.
GAUGAACGCUGACCGAAUGCCUAACACAUGCAAGUCCACUUGAAUUUGGGUUUUUAACUUAGGUUUGGGUGGCGGACGGGUGAGUAACGCGUAAAGAACUUGCCUCACAGCUAGGGACAACAUUUGGAAACGAAUGCUAAUACCUAAUAUUAUGAUAAUAGGGCAUCCUAUAAUUAUGAAAGCUAUAAGCGCUGUGAGAGAGCUUUGCGUCCCAUUAGCUAGUUGGAGAGGUAACGGCUCACCAAGGCGAUGAUGGGUAGCCGGCCUGAGAGGGUGAUCGGCCACAAGGGGACUGAGACACGGCCCUUACUCCUACGGGAGGCAGCAGUGGGGAAUAUUGGACAAUGGACCAAGAGUCUGAUCCAGCAAUUCUGUGUGCACGAUGAAGUUUUUCGGAAUGUAAAGUGCUUUCAGUUGGGAAGAAAGAAAUGACGGUACCAACAGAAGAAGUGACGGCUAAAUACGUG